AAAUUAUUACUAAGAAGUAAAUUACAAAAAAAUUUGAAAAAUUAAUAAUUAUUCAAUUAUUAUAACAAGUCAGAAGAGUUGUUAAAUACUUAUCUUUUGAUAAAUAAAAUUCAUUGAAAAAGAUGAAUCAAUGAAACGCCGGACACGCGAAUUUUAAUAUAGUGUAACAAUAAAUAUACAUACAAAAGCACAUGCAUAUUAUAAAUUAUAAAAUUUUAAAGCAAUAACAAAUGGUUCUUCGAAAUUGUCCGAUAAAAAAAUUUUUUAAAUUAUUCUUAAUAGAAAGUAGAUGAUCGAUAACAAUUUUAAUACUUUUUUACCGACUAAGCAAACGAAACGUUCUUCUUCACCUCUCCACCCGCUUUGAAGCAGGAAUCGAUAGAAGAAUGCGACGUAGCAUGAAGAAAAAAAGAAACAAGCCACGCAUUCCUCGAGAUAUAAACUUACUCAUUGAACGAUGUGAAAUCCAAUACUAAUGGAUUAAAAUUAUCUUCAUUUAAUGAUUGAAGACUAUAACUUCCCCAUAAAUUGAUACUUUUCUCAUCCAAUUUGAAUUUGUCAAUCUUCAAUUCUACAAAUUUUGCCCAAAAUGUACAAUCUGUAGUAGAUCUGAGUUUUGUAAAUUUUACAAAUUCCGACAUUUUUAAUUUCUGAA
This is a long non-coding RNA of Apis florea (little honeybee), 655 nucleotides long. RefSeq lists it as uncharacterized. The record is from RefSeq and is a predicted model, not a curated record. Lineage: Eukaryota; Metazoa; Arthropoda; Insecta; Hymenoptera; Apidae.